CUGGGACAUCUGGUGACUGGCAGCACUGGGCAUUGCCCCGCUGCCCAGCAUCCUCAGCAGGGCAGUGAAACAAAGCCCAUCAGUGUCUCUUUGUACACCAGCAUCUCAGAUGAGCAGGGACAAGACAAAUGAGAUCAGUAGGAGGAUUGUUCAGCAGGCAGUUUUGGAGAGAGGAUAUUUCCUCAAGGAGUAGGCAGCAAGGAAGAAGGCAAAAAAAAAAAGGAGACAUUAAGACUAAGUGACAACGAGAACAAGAAGACCAUGCCAUAAAGCUCCUCCAUGCCCUCUUUCCAAAUUCUGCUGCAGCAGGAAUGCCAGUAAAAAUAUCAGUUUUCUGUUGGGCUGUGUGGAG
Molecule: long non-coding RNA, 352 nt
Organism: Lepidothrix coronata (blue-crowned manakin)
Lineage: Eukaryota; Metazoa; Chordata; Aves; Passeriformes; Pipridae
Exons: 3
Source: RefSeq, a predicted model, not a curated record